Herpailurus yagouaroundi (jaguarundi) is the source of this 782-nucleotide long non-coding RNA. RefSeq lists it as uncharacterized. NCBI's taxonomy places the organism in Eukaryota, Metazoa, Chordata, Mammalia, Carnivora, Felidae. The transcript has 2 exons. The record is from RefSeq and is a predicted model, not a curated record.
CUUUAGAAAAGUCCCACAACCUUCAUGGGAUAUCUUCAAUCCAUGAGUGGAACAAGAAGUCACUCUCUCGUUUGCCGGUGAAUGAAAGCCCCCAGAUCAGAGGGGGCUCCUGUCCCACACAGCUCCUUGGAAAGUCAAGAGCUAUGGAUUCCCUGGAAUCUACCCUCAAAGCAAAUAAGGCCCUCAUCCCUCUGUUUCCGAAACAAGAAGCUGUAUUGUCCCUGGCUGCGGGUGCCAUUUUGUUUUCCUCAUAAACUGGGUAGUUCCAGGACAAAAGUGAUAUGGGGAGAAGCAGACAUUUUCCAAACAGCACCUGCAUCAUCCGGUCUAAAAAUAAAUCCAGUAGGACUGGUUUUAGGAGAGAAGCCACUGCUAAAAAUAAUGCUUACACGUACGAUGACAUCAGCAGGUAACUGACCUGGGACCUGCAGGGCCCCAGCAUCUAACCGACAUCUUGAGCUCUGGUCUGCUUUGUGAGGUGAUCAAUCUGUCUUCACCCUCCGCCCACCUGGCCUUCAUUUCAGGAGCCCAGGGCUGGGCCCGCUAAAUUCAAGGAAAGGGGCUGGCAGAACAUAGGGAAGCUCUGGAUUUAGAGCUUUCAUUAAAAAAUAAUAUGGACUUUUCUAUUUCAAGAACAGAAUGUCUAAUAAUGCUGCUGAGGAGAAGCUCUCCAGGACCUGCUUUGAUGGCGCUGAUGGGAUGGCAGGCAGGGGCCGCCUCAGGCAGCCUAAUUGCUGCAACUCUACACUCCAAUUAGACACCAAAUGAACGUGCUGAAUAAU